GAGUUAUUUUUUUGUUAGGUACCUAGUUUUGAUUUCUUAGAUGCUUGAUUUAAGACAUGUAUACGGACUCGUAAGUAAGCUUUACUGAAUACUUAUAUAAAAAAUGAAUUUGGGAAAUCAUUAAAUUAUCAAAUAUUAAAAGAAUAUACAAAUGUUGGUCUACUCUAACUUCAGCAGAUGCUUGAUAUAAUGUAAUCACAAAUAAACUUAUAAGUUUACUUGUAAAUAUCUGAUGUUCAUACUUAACAACUAUGUUUUCACUACACCAGCUCGUAAAAGCUAUCUUUAUUUGUCAAAACCUGAUGAGAAGGUUACAUUUUAUUCACAAGACCUGUAAAGUAAUUCAAUGCGAAUUUUGAGAUGUUUCCUCAUGUUGGCUGGAGGGAUUCCAAGGCCGCGGUCCAACACGCCCAUCUAUUACCUAUAUAAACUCUAUUAAAAUAGUUAUUUACGAUACAAGUGCGAAAAAUAGGAAUUACCUAUUCGCACAUGUAUCGUACAACAUUUUACAGUACAUAUGACCCUUUAAAUUUUCGACAUAGUUACAUAAUGUACAAAUUUACGUGCGGAAAAGUAGCACCAUAUGUACUGUAACAAAUCUUUCGACACAAUCAUACUGUUUGAAAUGCCACCUUCAAAUAUGAUUUUUGUACUCGUACAAGCUCGACUCGUGCAUUUGCACCAUAGUUUUGUUGGACUUUAUCCUCAACACCGACUCGCGCUGGAACGGUCAUUAUUAUGUGUUUUUAUGCAGUGUAUUUUCUUUACUAUCACACUUAGUUUACCAUUUGUAUACAUGCUGCACAAAAACCAAAAAAAUCUUGACUCUGUCCAAACAACUGUCUACUACCUUCGGUUCUUUAGACCAUGAGACAGGGCCUGCUAACAGAUAAAAACAUAGAGACGGGCUCAAUAAUAGAAUAGGAUUUCGUUUGUUAUCGAAGAGAAAUGAAGGUCGCCGAUGUAAAAACUAGGUGAUUUUUCUUACCAUUACUUUUCAUUGAACAUCAAUCUAGGUGAUUGAAAUAUUUUAUACUUCUCACCACUUUUCAUGCUAUUCGUUUGUUUAUAGGUUCAAGUAAAAGUUUGCUAUAACACAUUUAUUUAGAAUCAGCGGGUAAUUUUUACUAUAUAUACUAUUAUUUCUCGAUGAACUAUGAAACUGCUUUGUGGCGUUUUUUUUACCAUAAACAAUUUAAAAAAAAAGAACGUACCUACCUACGCACUGUGUUCAAGAAACGAUUGUUUUUUUUUAUUAUCUAAGUGUAGUUUAUUAUUGUUUAAGAAAUGUGUUUUGAUCUUAUAGUUCCGUAUUGUGUUUAAGGUUCUGUCACCUAAAGAUUUAUGGUGAAGAGAAUAUGUUUUCAUAUUUUAUGAAGGCAAAACUCUUCACGGUCCUGCAAGAGUAAGAGGCAACUAUCUGUUAGAGUGAGAAAAUAAUAUAUAGACGUUACCAUAUCACUUUAGGAGAUGGCUGCCUGCCUCCUGUUUUGCAGGGCUGUAAAAAUGCUGGUUGGACUGUCAACUUAAAGGUUUUUUUUAUUUAAACUUUCUACGGGAAGUCUACUCUUUCGUUAACAUUUUUUUUAAUUUUGCCACCUUUUUCAACUAACAAUAUCGCUGUGCUGAAUUAUUUUUCUUGGCUGAAUUACAUUAUUCCUUGGACUUAAAAAAAUCAACUGCGUAUGAGAGAAUUAAUUUAAAAGUUUAAUCUUAACGGAAAAAUUGAUUGCUUUCACCGUAUUUCUUAGUAAAUGUUCAACGAAGCGACCAAUGUGAGUAUGUUUUUGUACAAACGCUUUUAUUGCAAAUGUAUGAUACAAAUGAUACCCGUAAAUACAAAACGACAUAAAUCAAAUUAUAUCAUCGUUUAACGCUAUAAUCGUAUUUCUGAGUGCACUCAAACUACCCAGAGAUGAAGUCAUUAAUUCAAAGGUACAUAUAUUAUAUAAUUUCCAAUAGUCUUUUGGUUGCCAUCAUAACUUUUAAGAUUCAUAAUAUAUCAUUUAAGGUUAGUAGGGUAAGUGAAACAUUGAGGCCAAUGCCGAUUUAGAGGUCUGGAGGCCUCGGGCAAUAAAGGUGUGGAGGCCCCUGGCCCCAAUUUUUUUCCAAAUAAAAUGGUAAAUUUACCGAAUUCUCUAUUGUGGGGGGCCCCUCUUUUGUGGAGGCCCGGGGCAGUAGCCCCGGUUGCCCUCCCCUAAAUCCGGCCCUGACUGAGGCAAGAAAAACACUUGUAGGAGUACUUAUACUGUUCCUCCUGUCUGUCCCGAGAAAAAUAAACUAUGUUCAUCUUCACAUUCACAAAAAACCUUUAUUAACCAAAAAAAAUGCAUCAUCAGAUCCACAGCGCAGACUCCACAGUUCAGACAUUAUAGAACAAAUUAACUUACUUUCUAUAGGUACUUCAUUUCGUUUAUUUUCCUGUUACCCAACAUUACCUUACCUGGUUUAAGCGUCUGUUUAUAAUAUUAGACCAACUAUGUUAUUGACCUUAAUUGAGUUUGUAAGGAUCCACCCUAUCACCGUGGCCACGUAUUGUAACAAUUAUGUAAAUGACAUAGCCGCAAUAUGGCCUGUGAAUUGCCGCUUAUCGGCCCAUCGACACGCGACGCUUUAUUAAAGUGACUACUAUUGUUAUUUUUAAACUGUUUUAGCAUUUUAGAGUAGUCAUAAUUUAAUUGCUGUAUUGAUAAGAGGAGCGCGUCUGCUGUGUUGGUAAAUAAGCAAGGGAUGCAAUUUACCCAAUUUACACAUAUACGAGUAUGACAAUGUACAAAUACCAAUUAAAUACAAAGUUGAAAUUUGACAUGAAAGUCGAGUACGAUUGGUGAUUCUGGACGUUAUUUGUCAAAAUGCAGAGGAAGACCACAGGCCACAACGAGACCUUGACAGUUCAAGAAGCACUAGUCCUCGGGGUCUUUGCACCUGAUUUACGAUGCCCAAACCGCAUUCAAUGUGCCUUUGUUGAAAAACACUUUUAUUGAAUAAUAAAACGGGACGGUAAAAUGGAGCGAG
Long non-coding RNA from Cydia pomonella (codling moth), 3015 nucleotides. RefSeq lists it as uncharacterized. Lineage: Eukaryota; Metazoa; Arthropoda; Insecta; Lepidoptera; Tortricidae. The record is from RefSeq and is a predicted model, not a curated record. The transcript has 2 exons.